AGUGAACGCUGGCGGUAGGCCUAACGCAUGCAAGUCGAACGGCAGCACAGUAAGAGCUUGCUCUUACGGGUGGCGAGUGGCGGACGGGUGAGGAAUACAUCGGAAUCUACUUUUUCGUGGGGGAUAACGUAGUGAAACUUACGCUAAUACCGCAUACGACCUACGGGUGAAAGCAGGGGAUCUUCGGACCUUGCGCGAUUGAAUGAGCCGAUGUCGGAUUAGCUAGUUGGGGGGGUAAAGGCCCACCAAGGCGACGAUCCGUAGCUGGUCUGAGAGGAUGAUCAGCCACACUGGAACGGAGACACGGUCCAGACUCCUACGGGAGGCAGCAGUGGGGAAUAUUGGACAAUGGGCGCAAGCCUGAUCCAGCCAUACCGCGUGGGUGAAGAAGGCCUUCGGGUUGUAAAGCCCUUUUGUUGGGAAAGAAAAGCAGCAGGUUAAUACCCCGCUGUUCUGACGGUACCCAAAGAAUAAGCACCGGCUAACUUCGUG
Molecule: ribosomal RNA, 492 nt
Filed under: uncultured bacterium
Lineage: Bacteria
Description: partial 16S ribosomal RNA
Rfam family: Bacterial small subunit ribosomal RNA
Source: RNAcentral